This 200-nucleotide unclassified non-coding RNA is filed under the name soil metagenome. Its description in RNAcentral is "partial contains internal transcribed spacer 2 and large subunit ribosomal RNA". The record is from RNAcentral.
CCCCUCAAGCGUAGCUGGUAUUGGACGGUCGCGGGCCCUCUUUGGGGGGCCUGCGCGUCCGAAAAACAGUGGCGGUCCCCGGGGGUUUCGCGCGUAGUAAAUAUUCUCCCGCGUUGGAAAGAACCGAUGGGCCCUGCCAAAACCCCCCAUAAAUUUUCAUGAUUGACCUCGGAUCAGGUAGGGAUACCCGCUGAACUUAA